RNAcentral lists this ribosomal RNA (824 nucleotides) under uncultured Candidatus Poseidoniales archaeon. Its description in RNAcentral is "SSU rRNA". It matches the Rfam family "Archaeal small subunit ribosomal RNA", at positions 24 to 857 of the family's 1478-position model. Lineage: Archaea; Methanobacteriati; Thermoplasmatota; Candidatus Poseidoniia; Candidatus Poseidoniales. The record is from RNAcentral.
CGACCGCUGUGGGAGUCCGAUUAAGCCAUGCGAGUCGAGAGAAUAAGAUUCUCGGCAUACCGCUCAGUAACACGUGGAUAACUGCCCUGUGCUGGGGGAUAACCUCGCGAAAGUGAGAACAAUACCCCAUGGGUCACUAUGCCUGGAACGGUUAGUGGCUGAAAGCUCCGGCGGCACAGGAUGGGUCUGCGGCGUAUCAGGUCGUAGGGGGUGUAACGUACCUCCUAGCCUUCGACGCGUACGGGUUGUGAGAGCAAUUGCCCGGAGAUGGAUUCUGAGACACGAAUCCAGGCCCUACGGGGCGCAGCAGGCGCGAAAACUUGACAAUGCGAGAAAUCGUGAUCAGGGGACUCCAGUUGGCUGGAUCAAAAGUCCAGUCUGAACCGACUUUAAAUCGGUCGGGUAAUAGGGGCGGGAAAGACCGGUGCCAGCCGCCGCGGUAAUACCGGCGCCCCAAGUGGUCGUCACUAUUAUUGGGCCUAAAACGUCCGUAGCCGGUUUGGUAAAUCCGUGGGUAAAUCAGACAGCCCAACUGUCUGAAUUCUGCGGGGACUGCCAGACUUGAGACCGGGAGAGGUGCGGGGUACCUGCGGGGUACCGGUAAAAUGGGAUCAUCCCGUAGAGACCACCUGUUGCGAAGGCGCCGCACUAGAACGGAUCUGACGGUCAGGGACGAAGCCUAGGGGCACGAACCGGAUUAGAUACCCGGGUAGUCCUAGGUGUAAACGCUGUGGACUUGGUGUCGGGGACCUUCUGAGGGUUUCCGGUGCCGGAGUGAAGAUGUUAAGUCCACUGCCUGGGGAGUACGUCGCAAGCUGAAACUU